GGGGACUGCCGGACAGUUCGCGAGGUUUUGGCCCUCUCAAAAGCCAAUUCCCUGGGGCUAAUAUUUCUAUCGGAAACAAGACAAGCCUCAAGUAAUAUGGAGAGACUUAAGUGGGGAUUACACUUGAAGGGUUUUGUGGGUGUAUCUAGUGAUGGUCUAAGUGGGGGUCUCGCUCUUUACUGGGAUGAGAAUCUUCAGGUGACAGUU
RNAcentral lists this ribosomal RNA (207 nucleotides) under Triticum aestivum (bread wheat). RNAcentral describes it as "partial small subunit ribosomal RNA". The record is from RNAcentral. Lineage: Eukaryota; Viridiplantae; Streptophyta; Magnoliopsida; Poales; Poaceae.